CCUACGGGUGGCAGCAGUGGGGCAUAUUGGACAAUGGGGGGAACCCUGAUCCAGCGACGCCGCGUGAGUGAAGAAGUAUUUCGGUAUGUAAAGCUCUAUCAGCAGGGAAGAAAGAAAUGACGGUACCUGCCUAAGAAGCCCCGGCUAACUACGUACCAGCAGCCGCGCGAAUACGUAGGGGGCAAUCGUUAUCCGGAUUUACUGGGUGUAAAGGGAGCUUAGACGUUUACGCAAGUAUGGAGUGAAAGGCGGGGGACCCACCCCCGGACUGCUUUGGAAACUGUAUAACUGGAGUGCAGGAGAGGUAAGUGGAAUUCCUAGGGUAGCGGUGAAAUGCGUAGAUAUUAGGAGGAACACCAGUGGCGAAGGCGGCUUACUGGACUGUAACUGACGUUGAGGCUCGAAAGCGUGGGGAGCAAACAGGAGUAGAUACCCUAGUAGUC
This 443-nucleotide ribosomal RNA is filed under the name uncultured bacterium. RNAcentral describes it as "partial 16S ribosomal RNA". It matches the Rfam family "Bacterial small subunit ribosomal RNA", at positions 338 to 795 of the family's 1533-position model. The record is from RNAcentral.